This 300-nucleotide ribosomal RNA is filed under the name Sphingopyxis sp. RNAcentral's name for it is "partial 16S ribosomal RNA". It matches the Rfam family "Bacterial small subunit ribosomal RNA", at positions 1235 to 1533 of the family's 1533-position model. The record is from RNAcentral. Lineage: Bacteria; Pseudomonadati; Pseudomonadota; Alphaproteobacteria; Sphingomonadales; Sphingopyxidaceae.
AACUACAGUGGGCAGCAACCGGGCGACCGGUAGCUAAUCUCCAAAAGUUGUCUCAGUUCGGAUUGUUCUCUGCAACUCGAGAGCAUGAAGGCGGAAUCGCUAGUAAUCGCGGAUCAGCAUGCCGCGGUGAAUACGUUCCCAGGCCUUGUACACACCGCCCGUCACACCAUGGGAGUUGGUUUCACCCGAAGGCAGUGCUCUAACCCGCAAGGGAGGAAGCUGACCACGGUGGGAUCAGCGACUGGGGUGAAGUCGUAACAAGGUAGCCGUAGGGGAACCUGCGGCUGGAUCACCUCCUUU